This is a long non-coding RNA of Quercus robur (English oak), 1132 nucleotides long. RefSeq lists it as uncharacterized. The transcript is spliced from 3 exons. The record is from RefSeq and is a predicted model, not a curated record. Lineage: Eukaryota; Viridiplantae; Streptophyta; Magnoliopsida; Fagales; Fagaceae.
CCAUUUUGUUGUCAUCUUCAGGCAGAGGGAAGCUUGGCAGAAUCUAUAGCUGCCCUUGCUAAAGUUGAUUCUGUCAAACAGAGAAUGGAAGCCGCGUAUGAGACUUUGCAGAAUGCUGCUGGGUUAACUCAACUAAGUUCUACUGUGGAAGAUGUUUUUGCCAGUGGUGAUCUUCCUCGGGCUGCAGAAACCUUGGCUAAUAUGAGGCAUUGCUUGUCUGCUGUUGGGGAAGUAACACUUUUUUCUUAGUGUUACAUCAAGUAGUGGGUUUGAUAUUCAUGAAGUUUCACCAUUUGACUUUUUCUCCUUCAACUCCUUCAUUUUAGGUCGCUGAAUUUGCUAAUGUUAGGAAGCAACUUGAGGUCUUAGAAGAUAGAUUAGAUUCAAUGGUACAGCCUCGUAUAACAGAUGCUGUAUCCAACUGCAAGGUUGACUUUGCGCAAGAUUUGCGUGGAAUCCUCAUUCGAAUUGGAAGAUUCAAGUCUUUAGAGCUACAUUAUUCAAAAGUUCACUUAAAGUCCAUAAAGCAGCUCUGGGAAGAUUUUGACUCAAGACAGCGAACUAGUAAGCUUUCUAGUGAGAGGAAUGAAGUGGAAAGGCUAUCAAGUAGUAACGAGUUUCAAUCAAGUUCACCUUCAAUUUCUUUCUCCAGUUGGUUGCCAAGUUUCUAUGACGAGUUGCUACUUUAUCUUAAGCAAGAAUGGAAGUGGUACAGUUCAUUCUUCUUUAGAAGCCUAAAUAUUUAGUCUCAUUUUGUGAAGAGUUGUUUGUUCAAAAGUAUAGAAAUAGACUGAUUAUUUCUUUACAAAUUUCAUGAUAACAUCACAUUAAAAUUGGUUGCCAUUAACAGCUGAAGCUAGUUAUUUUUGUGAGGAAAAGGAUUGCAUCCAUUUUUCUUUUAAAUGAACAUGGUCUAUUUCAUGAUCAUGUUUUAGUUUUUAAAAAUCUAAAGGUGAACAUAGUGUCAGGUCAUUUAAAGUUAGUUAUCAUUCCUUAUUUGGUGGGCCCAAUCUUAAAUAAUGUGGCACCUUGUACUCUUAGAUUUCUUCUCAAUAUGUCAUUAUGAGAGGAUCUGAUUCUCUUCACAAUUUUCAAUAGAAAGUGUGUUCGCUUUUGAUCGACACUUGCUUUA